Molecule: ribosomal RNA, 497 nt
Filed under: uncultured bacterium
Lineage: Bacteria
Description: partial 16S ribosomal RNA
Rfam family: Bacterial small subunit ribosomal RNA
Source: RNAcentral
GAUGAACGCUGGCGGCGUGCCUAAUACAUGCAAGUCGAGCGAACAGACGAGGAGCUUGCUCCUCUGACGUUAGCGGCGGACGGGUGAGUAACACGUGGAUAACCUACCUAUAAGACUGGGAUAACUUCGGGAAACCGGAGCUAAUACCGGAUAAUAUAUUGAACCGCAUGGUUCAAUAGUGAAAGACGGUUUUGCUGUCACUUAUAGAUGGAUCCGCGCCGCAUUAGCUAGUUGGUAAGGUAACGGCUUAUCAAGGCGACGAUGCGUAGCCGACCUGAGAGGGUGAUCCGCCACACUGGAACUGAGACACGGUCCAGACUCCUACGGGAGGCAGCAGUAGGGAAUCUUCCGCAAUGGGCGAAAGCCUGACGGAGCAACGCCGCGUGAGUGAUGAAGGUCUUCGGAUCGUAAAACUCUGUUAUUAGGGAAGAACAAAUGUGUAAGUAACUAUGCACGUCUUGACGGUACCUAAUCAGAAAGCCACGGCUAACUACGUG